UGGAGGCAGCAGUGAGGAAUAUUGUGCAAUGGGCGAAAGCCUGACACAGCGACGCCGCGUGGGCGACGAAGGCCUUCGGGUCGUAAAGCCCUUUUGGCAGGGACGAGUGAGGACGGUACCUGUCGAAUAAGUCUCGGCUAACUACGUGCCAGCAGCCGCGGUAAAACGUAGGAGGCGAGCGUUAUCCGGAUUCACUGGGCGUAAAGCGCGCGUAGGCGGUUGGGUAAGUCGGACGUGAAAGCCCCUGGCUCAACUGGGGGAGGUCGUUCGAUACUGCCCGGCUUGAGGGUGAGAGAGGGGAGUGGAAUUCCCGGUGUAGCGGUGGAAUGCGUAGAGAUCGGGAGGAACACCAGUGGCGAAGGCGACUCUCUGGCUCACCCCUGACGCUGAUAGCGCGAAAGCGUGGGUAGCAAACGGGAUUAGAUACCCGAGUA
This 434-nucleotide ribosomal RNA is filed under the name uncultured bacterium. Its description in RNAcentral is "bacterial SSU rRNA". It matches the Rfam family "Bacterial small subunit ribosomal RNA", at positions 343 to 792 of the family's 1533-position model. The record is from RNAcentral.